CAAAAGCUCAAAUUUGAAAUCUGGCGUCUUUGGCGUCGAGAAGAAAUUUGAAGAAGGUAUCUUUGGGCCCGGCUCUUGUCUAAGUUCCUUGGAACAGGACGUCACAGAGGGUGAGAAUCCCGUGCGAUGAGAUGACCCGGGUCUGUGUAAAGUUCCUUCUUCUCAGUCGAGUUGUUUGGGAAUGCAGCUCUAAGUGGGUGGUAAAUUCCAUCUAAAGCUAAAUAUUGGCGAGAGACCGAUAGCGAACAAGUACAGUGAUGGAAAGAUGAAAAGAACUUUGAAAAGAGAGUGAAAAAGUACGUGAAAUUGUUGAAAGGGAAGGGCUUGAGAUCAGACUUGGUAUUUUGCAUGCUGCUCUCUCGGGGGCGGCCGCUGCGGUUUACCGGGCCAGCAUCGGUUUGGAGCGGCAGGAUAAUGGCGGAGGAAUGUGGCACGGCUUCUGCUGUGUGUUAUAGCCUCUGACGAUGCUGCCAGCCUAGACCGAGGACUGCGGUUUUUAACCUAGGAUGUUGGCAUAAUGAUCUUAAGUCGCCCGUCUUGAAACCACGGAC
RNAcentral lists this ribosomal RNA (551 nucleotides) under Candida albicans. RNAcentral describes it as "eukaryotic LSU rRNA". It matches the Rfam family "Eukaryotic large subunit ribosomal RNA", at positions 102 to 666 of the family's 3401-position model. The record is from RNAcentral. Lineage: Eukaryota; Fungi; Ascomycota; Pichiomycetes; Serinales; Debaryomycetaceae.